GAUGAACGCUAGCUACAGGCCUAACACAUGCAAGUCGAGCGACCGGCGCACGGGUGAGUUACACGUACACAACCUGCCCUUUACUCGGGGAUAGCCUUUCGAAAGAAAGAUUAAUACCCAAUAUAAAGGGUGGGGAUGCGUUUCAUUAGGGUGUUGGUAAGGUAACGGCUCAACAAGCCUUCGAUGGCUAGGGGUUCGGAAAGGAAGGUCACCCGCAUUGGAACUGAGGCACAGUCCAAACUGGUACGGAGGGCAGGAGAAGGUAAUAUUGUGCAAUGGGCGCUGGCCUGGACCAGCCGAGUGGCGUGAGAAGUGAAUGGUUAUGAGUCGUAUACUUCUUUUAUAGAAGGAUAGGUAUUAUAUGAAUAAGGAUCGGCUAACUCCGUGCCAGCCGCCGCGGUAAUAC
RNAcentral lists this ribosomal RNA (406 nucleotides) under uncultured bacterium. RNAcentral's name for it is "partial 16S ribosomal RNA". It matches the Rfam family "Bacterial small subunit ribosomal RNA", at positions 28 to 526 of the family's 1533-position model. The record is from RNAcentral.